CUACGGGACGCAGCAGUGGGGAAUAUUGCACAAUGGGCGCAAGCCUGAUGCAGCCAUGCCGCGUGUAUGAAGAAGGCCUUCGGGUUGUAAAGUACUUUCAGCGGGGAGGAAGGGAGUAAAGUUAAUACCUUUGCUCAUUGACGUUACCCGCAGAAGAAGCACCGGCUAACUCCGUGCCAGCAGCCGCGGUAAUACGGAGGGUGCAAGCAUUAAUCGGAAUUACUGGGCGUAAAGCGCACGCAGGCGGUUUGUUAAGUCAGAUGUGAAAUCCCCGGGCUCAACCUGGGAACUGCAUCUGAUACUGGCAAGCUUGAGUCUCGUAGAGGGGGGUAGAAUUCCAGGUGUAGCGGUGACAUGCGUAGAGAUCUGGAGGAAUACCGGUGGCGAAGGCGGCCCCCUGGACGAAGACUGACGCUCAGGUGCGAAAGCGUGGGGAGCAAACAGGAUUAGAUACCCCAGUAGUC
Molecule: ribosomal RNA, 464 nt
Filed under: uncultured bacterium
Lineage: Bacteria
Description: partial 16S ribosomal RNA
Rfam family: Bacterial small subunit ribosomal RNA
Source: RNAcentral